RNAcentral lists this ribosomal RNA (510 nucleotides) under uncultured bacterium. RNAcentral describes it as "partial 16S ribosomal RNA". It matches the Rfam family "Bacterial small subunit ribosomal RNA", at positions 28 to 507 of the family's 1533-position model. The record is from RNAcentral.
GACGAACGCUGGCGGCGUGCUUAACACAUGCAAGUCGAACGAAGAGCGAUGGAAGCUUGCUUCUAUCAAUCUUAGUGGCGAACGGGUGAGUAACGCGUAAUCAACCUGCCCUUCAGAGGGGGAGAACAGUUGGAAACGACUGCUAAUACCGCAUACGAUCUAAUCUCGGCAUCGAGGAUAGAUGAAAGGUGGCCUCUACAUGUAAGCUAUCACUGAAGGAGGGGAUUGCGUCUGAUUAGCUAGUUGGAGGGGUAACGGCCCACCAAGGCGAUGAUCAGUAGCCGGUCUGAGAGGAUGAACGGCCACAUUGGGACUGAGACACGGCCCAGACUCCUACGGGAGGCAGCAGUGGGGAAUCUUCCGCAAUGGACGAAAGUCUGACGGAGCAACGCCGCGUGAGUGAUGACGGCCUUCGGGUUGUAAAGCUCUGUUAAUCGGGACGAAAGGCCUUCUUGCGAAUAGUGAGAAGGAUUGACGGUACCGGAAUAGAAAGCCACGGCUAACUACGUG